RNAcentral lists this ribosomal RNA (468 nucleotides) under uncultured bacterium. RNAcentral describes it as "partial 16S ribosomal RNA". It matches the Rfam family "Bacterial small subunit ribosomal RNA", at positions 28 to 507 of the family's 1533-position model. The record is from RNAcentral.
GACGAACGCUGGCGGCGUGCUUAACACAUGCAAGUCGAACGGACAGGCCCUGCUUUUGUGGGGUGCUCGAGUGGCGAACGGGUGAGUAACACGUGAGUAACCUGCCCUUGACUUUGUGAUAACUUUAGGAAACUGGGGCUAAUACCGGAUAGGAGCUCCUGCUCCAUGGUGUGGGUUGGAAAGUUUCGGCGGUUGGGGAUGGACUCGCUGCUUAUGAGCUUGUUGGUGGGGUAGUGGCUUACCAAGGUUUUGACGGGUAGCCGGCCUGGGAGGGUGACCGGCCACAUGGGGACUAAGGGACGGCCCAGAAUGCUACGGUAGGCAGAAGUGGGGAAUAUUGCACAAUAGGCGGAAGCCUGAUGCAGCGACGCCGCGUGCGGAAUGACGGCCUUCGGGUUGUAAACCGCUUUCGCCUGUGACGAAGCGUGAGUGACGGUAAUGGGUAAAGAAGCAACGGCUAACUACGUG